Molecule: long non-coding RNA, 3271 nt
Organism: Harmonia axyridis
Lineage: Eukaryota; Metazoa; Arthropoda; Insecta; Coleoptera; Coccinellidae
Exons: 5
Source: RefSeq, a predicted model, not a curated record
AGAAAAUCGCUAAUUUUUCUCUCAUUCUGAAUUGAACACAUAGUUAAUCUGAUUGAUUCGAUUUGUAAAAGUGUUGAACAUUCUUGAAAUCUUUAUCGGAUUUCAAUAAGUUCAUGAAACUUAUUGAAAGGCCGAUUUCAUCUUGAAAAUUAAUCGAAAGCUCAUGUUUUUCUAGAAUCCAUCUGCUAUUGCGAAAUUCAAAGCACCAAAAGAACUAAUUUUCAAAUAAAAUGCCUCACACUCGUGCAGCCUUCAAUUGUACAGCGAGAUUAGAAAAAAGCCAAAAGUUGAAAUUUCAUUCUUCACAGUUUUCCAAAGGAUGACAAAUUAAGGGAACAGUGGAUGAAAGCUGAAGAAGAAUUGAUUUCAACCCUUUUUCCUUGUUGAAAAUAUGCAGCAACCGUUUUCAUCAACAUGAUUUAUUAAUAUUCAUGGUACAAAAACUCUGAAAAAAGAUGUUAUUCCUUCAAUUUUCAGUUUCUCCAAUUAUAUGCCUGAGAGAUUAAAUUAUGGAGAUAAAUGUCUUGAAGAUAAUAUAGAAGGUACAUUAAUAUUUUAUUUUUUAAGGAUGUGAAAUAUCUAUUUAUUUUCCGUCCCUAAUUUUAUUCAUUCAUAUAAAUAAUUAUUGCAAAAGAAAUUGAACAGGACCAGCCAGAGACAAAACAGCAAGAGAUGGGGCAACCAGAGACGGUAAAACUGUUUAUAAUAUCAAAAUCCUCUGCUGCUGCCAUGGAAGAUUUUUCCUCCAGAUUGAAUACUAAUAUUAGAAAUUAGAAACCUGGGAAUGAGGAUUUCCAAGAAUGGAACACUAGACGAAGUAAUAUCUGAGAGAAACAUCCAAAGAAAACCAAUAAUCUCAAUGUUAAAUAGGAUAUUAUCGAUUAAAAACAUAAAUGUGAAUAAUAAGAAAAUAAUUCACUCAAUAGUUAGGACAUAAUAACAUACAGCUCUGAAGUGUACAGCAGCUGGAAAAUCUGAAAGAGACAUGAUACCAAAUGAUACAAUAAGACAUAGAAUGGAAAUAAGACAUGAUAUUAUUGAUCUUAAGAACACAACAGUUGGUUUGGUACAGACAAGUCCAUAAAUACUUGUGAUACUAGGUGUGAUUUAAACAAGAAUAAUUUUUUUAGAUUGCCAUACUAAAUGAGGAACAUAUUCUGUGCCGUGGCUUAAAAAUUCAUCUUUAGAGAAGCUCAUUCACUGAAAGGCUGAAAAUGGGAAAAAUGAAUGUAUCAUAACUGAUCCUUGGAGAGAUAAGGAGAAGAAGAUCCAUAAAUUUCAAGAUUUGGAGGAGUUUAGAACUAAGAAGAGGUAGAGCUCAAUCCUGAAAUUUUCCAAUAUCCUGGAUAUUAAAUGAUUGGAAGAGUGAAUAUCCUCCUUAGUGGAGAGUGAAAAAUCCGACUCGAAGAUGUUCUUCCACAUGCGCUGAUAGGCUAAGUCGGACCAUUUUUUUAAAUCAUUUAUUGUAAUAAUGUAUACUUAAUGAAUACAAUUCUUCAUAGACUUUUUUUUUUUUCAUUGCCUGUAUUAUUUGGAAACAAUUUUCUGAAAGAUUUUACUAUUAUCAAAUUGAUAAGUGACUUGAACUAAACUAGUUGGAAGUAAUACAAAAUUGAAGAAUGAAAUGUAAUACACAUAACUGAUUCUAUUCAAACGAUAAAAUUGUUUGUAAAAAUGAUUUUUCAUUCUACCAUCAAUAAUAUUUGUACUUAGAAUUUUGGUUGUCGAAAGCCAAAGUAAUAAAAUAGAACAACACAAAUAGGUGAUUACUAAGCAGUAUACUUUCAUUUUGAAUCUUUAAAUGGUUAUAUUUAAGAAUUAGUCUAUAUUGAAUUGAUUAUUCCAACCAAACAUUUGAAAGAAUGAUCAUCUUCACUCAAUAAUAACAUAAUAUAACGAUUUUCACUUGAUAAAAAUAUAUGAAAAUUAUUCUCAUUUUGAGUUGCGAUAUAAUAAAAAUAUAUUUUUUCUACUAUCUUAAUAGAAAACUUCAUUCUCGCCCCUAAAGAAGGAAGGAAAAAUGUUUUCCUCCCGGCAGGAGUAGAAGUACCAUUUUCCUCCCUGACUGAUAAAAAUGACGACCUUAAAAGUAGUAGAAAAGACUAUAUACAUACCUAAGGAAAAAAUGCUUUCCUUUCUUGGUGUAUAAAUAAUAAAAAUAUUAUUUAUUAUAGCUUUUUCCAUAAAUUCUCAAACAAAAAUUAAACUUUUGAUAGUCGAAAAUAGAUUAAUAUAAGAAAGAUUUCAAGCAAUUCUAACCCUCGUUUACAUUGCUAGAAUUCCAAUAUAUCAAAAUAACAAUGAGUUUCAUUCAGAAUAAAAGAAAAAUUCAAGAUUUUCCAAACGUAAGUCCAAUGUUUUGGUCAUAUGAUUUUGACAUUGACUCAUCUAGCUGCAUCUCUCUCUUUCAUAUUCAGCCUGACGCGAACUCUUCGUGAAAGUCUCGUUAGGGCCUGUCCAUGUUAUAUUAGGUCUAUGGAACCUGGAACCACAGAACUGACAGUCAAAAAAAGGAGCAACCCGUCCAGCAGAGAAAAUCAACGUUACCAAACUGAUACCUAUCAGUAGCGGAGCUACUUACGCUACCGAUCUUUCUGCUGAAAGCGCCCAAUGAAUUCUUAGGUUUAGUUCAUGGUUCUUAGUCCUUAGUUUUUAGGUACGGUGCAUAAAUCCACCAUAACUUGAUCUAAUGAAUUUUAUUACUCAAUUUUCGUGUAUGUAUAAAAUAAAUGGUUCAAAUUCAAGAAGUUUUUAUUGGGACAUUAGAUAACUUCAUUUCGCACAGAUACGAACUAUAAUAUUUACGCAUCAGUUGUUGAUGGUAUCCUAAUUACAACCACCACAAGGGGCACCACAAGGGACAUUCGAAAAGUACAUUGGCUGUACGACAGGCGCAUAUACACAUGGUUGAGGACAAAAGUGGUUCAGCGGGGCUGGAGGUACAGGAUAUAUCGAAAUAGGAAGUGUAGGAGAACAGCAAGGAUCACAACAUGAACUGCAACAGGAAUCACACAUUUUUAUCGUGUUUUUAUAUUCACUUGAAAUUUUGAUUACUUCUCCAAAUUAUUCAGUUCGUUUAUAUUGCUAGGUGACCUUUUUAAAAUUUUGUUUUCAGCGAUUCCUUGAUUUAUGAUAUGCAUAAAAUUCGUUGUUUCAAUUGAACUAAUAAUCGAUUCCCAAUAGGAAUUGAUAAUCGAUAGGCAUCUGAGAUUAAGAAUGCAGCGACAAGGUAAAGGCGGUAGAUAUCAUCAUUUGUUUCAGUUCAGUCUAG